CCGUGAAUACGUUCCCGGGCCUUGUACACACCGCCCGUCAAGCGAUGGGAGCUAGGGGUACCCGAAGUGCCUGCAAAGGAGCGAAGGUAAACCUGGUGACUGGCGCU
Molecule: ribosomal RNA, 107 nt
Filed under: uncultured bacterium
Lineage: Bacteria
Description: partial 16S ribosomal RNA
Rfam family: Bacterial small subunit ribosomal RNA
Source: RNAcentral